AUGCAAGUCGAACGGUUUAAUGUUUGCAAUUAGUUGAAUGAGUAGCAAUACUCAGGAUGCUGAAAGCGGAUAUUGAAUAGUGGCAGACGGGUGAGUAAUACGUGGAUGACCUAUCUUCAAGCGGGGGAUAACCCCGGGAAACCGGAGCUAAUACCGCGUAAGGUCACAUUUCGAAACUUCGAGAAGUGAUUAAAGUUGCCGAGCAAUCGGUGACGCUUGUAGCAGGGUCCAUGGUCUAUCAGCUAGUUGGUGAGGUAAUGGCUCACCAAGGCUAUGACGGAUAGCCGGCCUAAAAGGGCGAACGGCCACAAUGGAACUGAGACACGGUCCAUACUCCUACGGGAGGCAGCAGUGGGGAAUUUUGCGCAAUGGGGGAAACCCUGACGCAGCAACGCCGCGUGGAGGACGAAGGUUUUCGGAUUGUAAACUCUUUUUGUUCUGGAAGAAUACCCCGAUGUAGAAUCGGGGCUGACGGUACAGAACGAAUAAGCCACGGCAAACUACGUGCCAGCAGCCGCGGUAAUACGUAGGUGGCGAGCGUUACUCGGAAUUACUAGGCGUAAAGCGCAGGUAGGUGGCUUAGAAAGUCUAUUGUGAAAGCUCCCGGCUUAACUGGGAGAGGUCAAUGGAUACUUCUAGGCUUGAGUGUAGGAAGGGGAACUAGAAUUCCCGGUGUAGCGGUGAAAUGCGUAGAUAUCGGGAGGAAUACCAAUGGCGAAAGCAGGUUCCUAGACUAAUACUGACACUGAGCUGCGAAAGCUAGGGGAGCAAACAGGAUUAGAUACCCUGGUAGUCCUAGCUGUAAACGAUGUUCACUAGGUGUGGGGAGUAUCGACCCUUUCCGCGCCGACGCUAACGCAUUAAGUGAACCGCCUGGGAAGUACGGCCGCAAGGUUGAAACUCAAAGGAAUUGACGGGGGCCCGCACAAGCGGUGGAGCAUGUGGUUUAAUUCGAUUCAACGCGAAGAACCUUACCUGGGCUUGAACUGUAGGAAGUAAGAUUCUGGAAACAGAAGAUGACCUGUAAAGUCAGGAGCUUAUAGAGGUGCUGCAUGGUUGUCGUCAGCUCGUGUCGUGAGAUGUUGGGUUAAGUCCCGCAACGAGCGCAACCCCUAUCCCAUGUUGCCAAUCCCGAAAGGGAGGCACUCUUGGGAGACUGCCUCGGAUAACGGGGAGGAAGGUAGGGAUGACGUCAAAUCAUCAUGGCCCUUAUGUCCAGGGCCACACACGUGCUACAAUGGUCGGUACAGAGGGAUGCAAUGCUGCAAAGUGGAGCAAAUCCCUAAAGCCGGCCCCAGUUCGGAUUGUGGGCUGCAACUCGCCCACAUGAAGGUGGAAUCGCUAGUAAUCGCAGAACAGCAGGCUGCGGUGAAUACGUUCCCGGGCCUUGUACACACCGCCCGUCACACCACGAAAGCCAAUUGCAACAGAAGUCCGAGUUUACUCGGCCCAAGUUGUGACUGGUGAUUGGGGUGAAGUCGUAACAAGGUA
RNAcentral lists this ribosomal RNA (1491 nucleotides) under metagenome. RNAcentral describes it as "bacterial SSU rRNA". It matches the Rfam family "Bacterial small subunit ribosomal RNA". The record is from RNAcentral.